Molecule: unclassified non-coding RNA, 87 nt
Filed under: Pseudomonas migulae
Lineage: Bacteria; Pseudomonadati; Pseudomonadota; Gammaproteobacteria; Pseudomonadales; Pseudomonadaceae
Source: RNAcentral
UGUAGGAGCCGGCUUGCUGGCGAUGGCAUCACCGCGGUCUGUCUGAACAACCGAGGAGAUGCCAUCGCCAGCAAGCCGGCUCCUACA